This 253-nucleotide ribosomal RNA is filed under the name uncultured bacterium. RNAcentral describes it as "partial 16S ribosomal RNA". It matches the Rfam family "Bacterial small subunit ribosomal RNA", at positions 524 to 776 of the family's 1533-position model. The record is from RNAcentral.
UACAGGGGGGGCAAGCGUUGUUCGGAAUUACUGGGCGUAAAGGGUUCGUAGGUGGCCACUUAAGUCAGACGUGAAAUCCCUCAGCUUAACUGGGGAACUGCGUCUGAUACUGAGUGGCUUGAGUGCAGGAGAGGAAUGCGGAAUUCCAGGUGUAGCGGUGAAAUGCGUAGAUAUCUGGAGGAACACCGGUGGCGAAGGCGGCAUUCUGGACUGUAACUGACGCUGAGGAGCGAAAGCUGGGGGAGCAAACAGG